UAGUCCACGCUGUAAACGAUGAGGACUAAAUGUUGGUAGGCUAGUCUUUAUCAGUGUUGAAGCUAACGCGAUAAGUUCUCCGCCGUGGGGAGUACGGCCGCAAAGGUUAAAACUCAAAGGAAUUGACGGGGGACCCGCACAAGCGGUGGAGCAUGUGGUUUAAUUCGAUGCAACGCGAAGAACCUUACCUACUUUUGACAUCCAGAGGAGGCCUUAGAGAUGAGGCUGUGCCUUCGGGAGCUCUGAGACAGGUGCUGCAUGGCUGUCGUCAGCUCGUGUCGUGAGAUGUUGGGUUAAGUCCCGUAACGAGCGCAACCCUUGUACUUAGUUGCCAGCAUUAAGUUGGGUACUUUAAGUAGACUGCCGGUGAGAAACCGGAGGAAGGUGGGGAUGACGUCAAGUCUUCAUGGCCUUACGAGUAGGGCUACACACGUGCUACAAUGGGUAUUACAAAGGGCAGCGAAGCUGAGAGGUGGAGNGAACCCCAGAAAGGUAACUCGUAGUCCGGA
Molecule: ribosomal RNA, 509 nt
Filed under: uncultured bacterium
Lineage: Bacteria
Description: bacterial SSU rRNA
Rfam family: Bacterial small subunit ribosomal RNA
Source: RNAcentral